Mercenaria mercenaria is the source of this 10380-nucleotide long non-coding RNA. RefSeq lists it as uncharacterized. The transcript is spliced from 6 exons. The record is from RefSeq and is a predicted model, not a curated record. NCBI's taxonomy places the organism in Eukaryota, Metazoa, Mollusca, Bivalvia, Venerida, Veneridae.
AAAAGAUUGAGGUGUUUGUUUAGUUUAAGGCAUUCCAGCAACCUGUAACCUAAAUGCCAAAUUUACUUAAAAUCCUUGGGCCUGUAAUCAUUUCCAUCAUUUUUACAAUGUGUAUAAUUGUAUCAAAACUUAAAAAUUACUUGUACUGUGUCUUCAGAUAUAAUUUAUAUACAAUAAGCUUUUGUUCUGUUCAAAAUUUUUCAUGUGCUAGACACUCUGCUCCAAAGAAUUUUCCUCCACACACUGCCUGCACAUCUGUUUAGGAAUGGCAGCAUUUUGGCAAUUGAAUUUCUAGUUUUCCAUUUCAAAGACAAUCUUGAUACUUAAGUAGUAAGAUAUUAUUUAGAGUUGAAGGUUAAGUAGAAAUAUGUUUGGUUGUGGUCUUCCUACAGACAUUUUUUAUUCAUUAUUUAUGUGUGUUUGAGAUGUGUGAUUGUGUUGCUUAUCAUUCUGACUGCUGAGGAGAUACUUCUGUGAGGUUUACUUAUCUCCUGGACUGUACUGUGGACUGUACUGUUUUAUAGCCACUGUCAAACUUGACAGUCCAAAGACACUAGAGUACCAUAUCAUUAUUAUUGCUCAAUUCUGUAACUGUAGCCAGUUCAGAGAAAAUCCUAAGCUAAUAAGCUUAAUUGAAUGCUGUUUAGUUCUAUCAAUUAAAUCUGUGUUUUAUCAAUAAUUUCAACUAUUUAAAUUUAAUAAGUAAUAUUGUGUAUUUUUGGAGUAAAUUUCAAGAAUUAGGGAUGGUAGGUACAAUAAAAGAAAAUAUUAACUUAAGAAUGUUCGUUAAAACAGAAAUCUUUUGAAAUAAAAAAUCAUUUAUCAUGAAGUGAAUGUUAAAUGGAAAUAGUUACUAGAAUAAUGUUGUGCAGUGUAAUGCUUUUGUGCAUUGAAUGACUGUCAAAGAAUUACAUUGUAUAAUGCAGUGAAAGAACGUGCAGUGAAUGAAUGUUAAAUGAAUUAUAUUGUAAAAUUGUGCGAGUGAAUAUCAAAAUCAAAAUGUUUAAAGUAAAUUGUUUUUUAAAACACAAUGACCAGACAGUAGAACUAAUCAUUUUGUAAAGCAGUGGCAGAGUUAGGUUAUUCUGUUAAAGAGACAGUGGCAUGGCAUAUUAAUAAUUUUUUGUGUUGUUAAGUGGAUGAGAGUGGUUGUAUUCCAAUGGCUUUAAGCAUGAAAUCACCUGGCCUUAUGCUGAAGACAUCUAUGAAUCGACCAACCAGAUGUAUACCUCUAAUUUAAACUCCUGAAAAUCCCCAUGGUUGUUGGUGGUGCAGACAGAAUGUGAGCCAGGAAGUACCUCUGUAAAAGCCCAGACAUUCCAUAUGCAGGAGUACCUUCAUUCUUCAAGUCUGUACAAGAGAUCUAUGUGAGGAUGAAAGCCAAGAUAAUACAAAGAUUCAGCACAUCAGUCCAACUGAAGGACCAAGUAUCCAUUGAUUCAGUUGCAUCUUAACUAAGAAGUUAACUUGGAUCUGCUUCACAGGGAGUCAUUGAUGAUCAACUAAGUAGUAGGAUACAGUUUUCUGAUCAGAUGAAAUCGCUUUAUCUUAUCUGGCUGGAAUUUAAAGAGCUGAGACUACCAUUAGGAAAAUCUGCCAUGUAAUAACACUAACCCAGAACAUUGCUACUGAGUCUACCACACAGUAAUGUGGACAAGGACAUUGCUAUUAAGAGUUUCCAUGCAGUAACACUGACUUGAGUAGUCCACACAGGAAAAACACACAGUAACGUUGACUUAGGAUGUUGCUACCGAGUAUUAUACACUGUAAUACUGACCCCAAAGUGUAGCUUUUCUAUGGAAAAUUCAGACAGAUAACUGAAGUUACCUGUCAAUAGGUGCAAUAAAAUCUUUAUUAUCUGUUUAUGUUAACACUCCUGAUACUGAAGGCUGGACUCUGCUGAACACUGGGGAAAAAAAGUGGAGGUAAACAUGCAACUCACUGUGUGUGACAUUAGUGAAAAAUUUUUUUAAUGUGACCGUGAUAUAUAGACAUCCAAAUUAUUUUAAGUAACAUUCAAGUAAUGGUCAAAGGUAGUAGUGAAAACUCAAUGAAUGUGACAUCAAAGUUUAGAUGACUGAGAAAGAAAGACAGUUAUACCUACUAGUAAAAAUCUAUAAGAUUAGAUAUUAAAAUAAUGUUAAAAAGUGACAGUAGGUACAGUAAAAUGUGAAUAAUAUGUGUUUUGAUUGAUAAUGUCAAAUAAUAAUGUGUAACUCAUUGUUCCAGUGUAUAUAUAUCAUUUCGUUGAAUCAGUUAUCUAAAGAAACAAACUGGACCAACUGUUUUGAUCAUUUUGGAUUGGUUAGUAGUUGCAUAAUUUUACCACAAGAGACCAAAAAAUCUCUGCAAUCUCCCUGGGCCACAUUCACAUGUAUGCUGACAUUCAUACUGUACAAUAUGCUCCGUUUAAGCUUGAAUAAGAAGAGUUAUCCUACUCAACACAGCGUUGGCGUCACACUUUUAAGUUUUUCAUACCACAUUGAUUCUACUUUAACUUGUUAAAUUCAGAGGUAAAAAAUAGUUAAAAAACACGAAUCUUCCAACGGUUUUUGAGUGUUUUUAUUUGAUGGAACAAUGUUUUCAACAGUGAUCGAACAUUCUGAAGUCAAAACAGGCCCUAGAUUUUGUACCAGAAUAUAAGAAAUAAACACCCAGAUACAGUUAAAUUAAGAUAUGUUAUAUUGAAUGAUACACAUUUCCUCAAGGCCAAAAUUUUGUUUUUCAUGUUUUUUAAAAGAAAGUUUUAUAAGAAAUGGCAUAAUUAACAAUUCUAUAAAAAAAAUUGUAAUAAAAGUAAAAUAUUUCAUAUUUUCUACUUUCAAUUUCUAAAAGUAUUAAUGUUUUUAAGAGAAAAACAUCAAUCCAAUAAUUUUAUAUCAAAAUCGGUCAAGACCGUGCAUCCAUUUAUUGCAAUGCAUAUCUUGAAAGUAAAAUUUUUUUAACUCUGCAAAUCUGAUAUAACAUGACUGUCCCUAGCAUAACGUAUCUCAUGCUUUAUGCAAUAUGUUUCUUAAAAUGUUUAAAGAUAAAUUAUUAAUGUCUAACACGAAAAAAAAAACAGUCUAAAACCAUUUAUAUAAAGUCAAAUAUUACUGGUUACAGCAGCUUUUUCUUUCAUUUGUUUAAAAUAUUUAUACAGCUAUCACCUUCAGUGACGCACACAAAAGCAAGAAAAAACGUGAACAAUUUAUUCAGAAUUACACAUUACAUGUUCAGCAAUUAUACUGUUAAAACGAUACGUAGGUAAUGUUUUUCCAACUAUUUUUAAAAAUACAUCAUCAUUAUCUCAUUCAUAUAUAUAGUUUCUUAAGAAAAUCUAAAUAUGAUGGUUUACACACAAUUUAUUAAAAUUUUUAGGUUCAUAUAAAGUUAAUAUAGAACAUCAAAUUUUAUCUAUCUGUAGGCCUCUUUCAUAUGUCUGAUAUAUUCUGUUCAUACCUUGUGUUUUUUUGGUGUUUUUAAUGUGUUUACUGGCCAUGGGAUUCGUUUGUUUUAACUCUUUGUCCUUUUCAGAUUAUCAAGAUCAGAUUUCUUUGCUCUUCAUCUCUAUUAUUUCUUCCUAUAAUUCUGCAUUGUUGAUGUAAUUUGUGACAAUAAAAAAAAAUAUGAAAUGUAGAUGUACUGAUCCUAUUGUAAGCAUACAAGUUGUAUUUCCAUUUCUACACUUCAGAAUAAAACAACAGAUUUUCAUAAGAUACCUUAUUGAGACAUAAUUCAUUUUACUGUCAAAUUGCAAAUAGUGGAUUAUUUUAGGCUAUACUUCUUUCAUAUUUCUAACACUCCCACUCAGUAAGCAUUAUGUGUAAACCAGAUGUUGUUAAAGUACCUAAUUGGCAUACAUCGAUUUACGUAAUUUGUCGUUGUGAAUUAAUCAAUUAUUUUAUCAGCAUAAUGUACCUUAUUUAAACAUAUCUUACGUGCAUUUUACGUCAGCAUUAAAUCACCCCUAUUUGAUGUGCGCACGUAUUGAGUGUAUUAUAUACUGGCUAAAUGUUACGGUUAGGUUUAACAUUCAAUGCGUGCGUACACUCGAUGCAGGAGAUUUAAUGCCGACCGUGCAUUUUAUGAAACUGAACCCCACAUAAAAAAGGUCUAUUUACUACAUUUUCUUAACGUAUAUAAAAAAGGCAUAGCUGGCUUAUUAAUAAUACGGUUUGUGGUCACCAUUUCAAACAGAUUUUCAUUUUCUUGCAAACUCUGUAUAACGUAUCGUUUGUUUUUGUUGAAGAAUUCCAGUCACAGCUGAUCAACGUUGCUUGGGUCUAAAAAGAAUUUAUGAUACUAUGAAAUAACUUGCAAACUAUAUACAGCUAUGCUGUGUGUUCCAUUUAAAACUUGUAUGAGGUCCCAUAAAACUUAGAUCAUUGGGUUUUUUUCAGUUAAAUUCGCAUAACGCAUCUUACUUGAAAAUCUGGACAAAGGACUUAGAAAAUGCAAAAGGAUAUCACUCAAUACACAAAGAUUUUUUGUUUUAAAAUCCACACUUACCCUAGUUCUUUUAGUUCAGGCUUUAUGCACAAGUGUACAGUAUACACUGACUGCAAAAUAGCUUGCAUUAUACACGACUAUGCUAGAGACAGGCAAAAAUGGUCAAAACUGGGCUAUACAUGUAUAUGUAACUGCUGUUGAUGAAUGACUAAACAUAAGCGUAAAAAGUGAAAUCGUAAUGUGAAGACAACGUAUAAUCAAUGACCAGUCCACAUUUUGUCAAAUAGCUUUGUAACUUUCAACAUUUGUCUGCUAUCACCAUGUCCAGUUUUAGGAAAGAGUAAACACCUCUGUUGGGGAUUUUGACUGAAUUAUGGCUUCUUCUAAGUUACAAAUCUUGGUUAAGUUUUUCGUAAUUAACUGUUCAUAUUUUGUGUAAACUGUUAACUUUGAUGUAUAGCUUUCAAACUUUUAUCACUUGUUUAGUUACUAAUACUGUAACAGACUCUAACUGUAGGCUACAUGUAGAGUACAUAACUCUGUCAAGUAUUUUGGCUGAAUUAUGGCUUUUUUUGGACUUGAAAAUUGGUUCAGUUUUUUGUACAAGUCCACUUUUUGUCAAAAUUAUUUGGCAUGUGGCUUUGAAACUUUGUGUAGGCAAGACUACAUAGCUAGGACAAGGAUUUUGACUUAGUUGUGGCGCUUGUUUAGACUAUUUUAUAUAUAGCUAUGAAACUUUCAACACUUGCUUCCAUUAUGGUCUUUAUCUGUAGACAAGAGUACAUAACUUUUCUACUCAGAACUUCUAAGCUAGACUGUAAUGGUUAAUGAGUGGUUAAAGUUUCAAAGCCAUAUGUCAAACAGUUAAGACAAAAUACGGACAUCAAUUCUUGGAAUAGUCGAGUGCGCUCUUGUUACUUAAUCGAUUAAGUGCUGUCUGUCAAAGUUUAUCUAUAUAACUCGAACACCAGUGGGGGGAUUUAUACCAAACUCCCAGAAGUGAUCAUUACCAAGCCUACUUGUGCAUAUUGUUGGCUUUUUCGGGUUCAUUGAUUAGCUCAUCUGAUUUUUUGAAAAAAAAUGAUGAGUUAUUGUCAUCACUUGAGCGGUUGUCGGCGUCUACAUCGGCGUUGCCUGGUUAAGUUUUAUGUUUAGGUCAGCUUUUCUCCUAAACUAUCAAAGCUAUUGCUUUGAAACUUGGAAUACUUGUUCACCAUCAUAAGCUGACCCUGUAUAGCAAGAAACAUAACUCCAUCUUGCUUUUUGCAAGAUUUAUGGCCCCUUUUGUACUUAGAAAAUAUCAGAUUUCUUGGUUAAGUUUUAUGUUUAGGUCAACUUUUUCUCCUAAACUAUGAAAGCUUUUGCUUUGAAACUUGGAAUACUUGUUCACCAUCAUAAGCAGACCCUGUACGUCAAGAAACAUAACUCCAUCUUGCUUUUUGCAAGAAUUAUUGCCCCUUUUGGACUUAGAAAAUCAGUUUUCUUGGUUAAGUUUUAUGUUUAGGUCAGCUUUUAUCCUAAACUAUCAAAGCUAUUCCUUUAAAACUUGCAACACUUGUUCACCAUCAUAAGCUGACCCUGUACAGCAAGAAACAUAACUCCGUCCUGCUUUUUGCAAGAUUUAUGGCCCCUUUUGGACUUAGAAAAUAUCAGAUUUCUUGCUUAAGUUUUAUGUUUAGGUCAACUUUUUCUCUUAAACUAUCAAAGCUAUUGCUUUAAAACUUGCAACUCUUGUUCACCACAUUAAGCUGACCCUGUGCAGCAAGCAACAUAACUCCAUCCUGCUUUUUGCAAUAAUUAUUGCCCCUUUUGGACUUAGAAAAAUCAUUUUCUUGGUUGAAUAUUAUGUUUAAGUCAACUUUUCUCAUAAACUAUCAAAGCUAUUGCUUUAAAACUUGCAACAGUUUUUCACCAUCAUAAGUGGACACUGUACAUCAAGAAACAUAACUCUAUCCUGCUUUUUGCAAGAGUGAUGGCCCUUUUUAGACUUAGAAAAUCAUGGGUAGGACAAUAUUUCUAUUAUAAAAAAAAAAUCAGAUGAGCGUCAGCACCCGCAAGGCGGUGCUCUUGUUUUCAGCUGAGUUAUGGUCCUUGGUUCAUCAAAUGUUAUGAUGUCUUGGCCACAUUUAGUAUUUAGCAGAUUUCCACCAAACCUCACAGAUCAUUGGGCAAAUACUUGGCAUCUUCCAGUUGGAUGAUUUUUAGCUGGGUUAUCAUCGAUUCAUCCAAUUUUAUGAGGUUUAGGCCACUUCUUUUAUAUAAUUGGGUGGAAUUCCACCAAUCCUUACAAGAGUUAACAGUACCAAGCUUCAUUAUGCAUAUUGUCUGCAUGUUCUGGUUCAGUGAUUUUUUAGCUCACCUGUCACAUAGUGACAAGGUGAGCUUUUGUGAUCACGCAGCGUCCGUCCGUCCGUCCGUGCGUUAGUCCGUCCGUCCGUAAACUUUUGCUUGUGACCACUCUAGAGGUCACAUUUUUUGUGGGAUCUUUAUGAAAGUUCACCUUGAUGAUAUCUAGAUCAAGUUCGAAACUGGGUCACAUGCCUUCAAAAACUAGGUCAGUAGAUCUAAAAAUAGAAAAACCUUGUGACCUCUCUAGAGGCCAUAUAUUUCAUGAGAUCUUCAUGAAAAUUGGUCAGAAUGUUCACCUUGAUGAUAUUAAGGUCAAGUUUGAAAGUGGGUCACGUGCCAUCAAAAACUAGGUCAGUAGGUCAAAUAAUAGAAAAACCUUGUGACCUCUCUAGAGGCCAUAUUUUUCAUGGGAUCUGUAUGAAAAUUGGUCAGAAUGUUUAUCUUGAUAAUAUCUAGGUCAAGUUCGAAAGUGGGUCACGUGCCAUCAAAAACUAAGUCAGUAGGUCAAAUAAUAGAAAAACCUUGUGACCUCUCUAAAGGCCAUAUUUUUCAUGGGAUCUGUAUGAAAGUUGGUCUGAAUGUUCAUCUUGAUGAUAUCUAGGUCAAGUUCGAAACAGGGUCAUGUGCGGUCAAAAACUAGGUCAGUAGGUCUAAAAAUAGAAAAACCUUGUGACCUCUUUAGAGGCCAUACUUAUGAAUGGAUCUCCAUAAAAAUUGGUCAGAAUGUUCAUCGUGAUGAUAUGUAGGUCAAGUUCGAAAGUGGGUCACGUGCCUUCAAAAAGUAGGUCAGUAGGUCAAAUAAUGAAAAAACAUUGUGACCUCUCUAGAGGCCAUAUUUUUCAUGGGAUCUGUAUGAAAGUUGGUCUGAAUGUUUAUCUUGAUGAUGUAUAGGUCAAGUUUGAAACUGGGUCAACUGCGAUCAAAAACUAGGUCAGUAGGUCUUGAAAUAGAAAAACCUUGUGACCUCUCUAGAGGCCAUACCCUUGAAUGGAUCUUCAUGAAAAUUGGUCAGAGUGUUCACCUUGAUGAUAUCUAGGUCAAGUUUGAAACUGGGUCACGUGCCUUAAAAAACUAGGUCAGUAGGUCAAAUAAUAAAAAAACUUUGUGACCUCUCUAGAGGCCAUACUUUUCAUGGGAUCUGUAUGAAAGUUGAUCUGAAUGUUCAUCUUGAUGAUAUCUUGGUCAAGUUUGAAACUGGGUCAACUGCAGUCAAAAUCUAGGUCAGUAGGUCUAAAGUUAUUAAAAUAUUUUGACCUCUCUAGAGGCCAUAUUUUUCAAUGGAUCUUCAUUGAAAAUUGAUCUGAAUGUUCACCUUGAUGAUAUCUAGGUCAGUUUCAAAACUGGGUCACGUGCGAUCAAAAACUAGGCCAGUAGAUAUAAAAAUAGAAAAACUUGUGACCUCUUUAAAGGCCAUAUUUUUCACGAGAUCUUCAUGAAAAUUUGUGAGAAUGUUCACCUUGAUGAUAUCUAGGUAAAGUUCAAAACAGGGUCACGUAUCUUCGAAAACUAGGUCAAUAGGUCAAAUAAUAGAAAAACCUUGUGACCUCUCUAGAGACCAUAUUUUUCAAUGGAUCUUCAUGAAAAUUGGUCAGACUUUUUAUCUUGAUAAUAUCUAGGUCAAGUUCAAAACUGGGUCACAUGAGCUCAAAAACUAGGUCACUAUGUCAAAUAAUAAAAAGAACGAUGCCAUACUCAAAACUGGGUCAUGUGGGAAGAGGUGAGCGAUUCAGGACCAUCGUGGUCCUCUUGUUCAGUGGAAUUAUGGCCCUUGAUUGGUCUAUUUUAUCUUGCCUGGGCAACUGCUCCAAUACCAGAGGCAGAUGUACACCAAACAUCACGAGAGAUCAUUGCCAAGCCUAGUUGUGCAUAUUAUCAGCAUGUUACAGUUUGGUGUUUUCCAGCAGAGUUGUGGCCCUUGAUUGGUCAAAUCUUAUGAUGUUGUAGCCACUUCUCUUAUAUAUUAGUUGGAUUUUAACCAAACCAUACAGAAAUGAUCAUUAUUAAGUCUUAUGCAUAUCAGUGGCAUGUUCCACUUCAGUGAUUUUUAGCAGAGUUAUAGCCCUUGAUGUGGCAUGUUUCAAAUUACUUGCUACAUACAUUUAUGAUGAAUUUCAGUAAACCUUACAAGUAAUUAGUGCGAAGCAUAGUUGCCCUUUUCUGAUUAAAUUAUUUUUCAGUACUUUGUAAUCCUUAGGAAAAACAUAACAUCUAUUUAUCAAUUUCAUCCUUGUUUCUUUAAUUUUCUGUGCAGCCAGUUGUUAAAAUGUCAAAGCAGAGUGAUUUAAAUAGUUUGUAGACAUGGUAAAUUUUACAGACAAAAUAAAAAGACCAUGAAGGGGUAUUUUGUUCAUCAAAUUCAACAGUUACUUGUAGAGUGGUGAGAAAAUGUUGAGACUUUGGGUAUAAACAGGGUUUUCUGUGGUUUGGCCUAGUGACUAAACAAGUUUUUACCCUAGGUGAGCUAGCUUUGUAACUGACCUAACUUCAGUUAGUAAAGAAAUUUUAGAUUUAUUUAUUUAUUCUAUGGUUUGACCAUGUGACAUUGUUUAUGGCCUUUCAAACUAAACCCAUAGUGAGUAGAUACAAUGUUCAUUCUGACAAGAUUCCAUGUGGAUCUGGAAGAAAAUGUGGCUUUUGGUGUAUAAAGGUAGUUUUACAUGUUCAAUUAAACCGGAAGUGAUGACGUAACAUCAUUUUAAAAUAUCCAGAAAAUGUAGAAUAAAGGCUGGAUUUGGCCUACGGAAAUGAAAAUCAUCUUGUGAAGUAAUGGCAACCUGUGAAUAAAUUUCUUACAAUGGCACUGUUACUAUCUUUCUAAAAUAAAAGUAUAAUAUUAGAACAUGUGACAUGUUAGAUUCAAAAUAAUGUCAUAAAACUAGCUUAAAAUGUGAGGUUUACUUUUAUCAUGGCCAAAUAUCUCAAAAGCAAGCACACGGACCUAUAGAUUUUAUUUCAUCAUAUUAUAGACAAUAUGUUUAUAAGUAUAUGACUGUGAGAUGUUUGAUUAAAAUCCACAUUGUAGAAAAAUUUCUAUUUGUUGCGAUUUUCCCAUAGACUCCUAUUAUGAAAGAUUGCGUGAGGUCCAAAUUUUUCAAAUCAGUCUAGCAAAAAACAAAGCAAACGACCUUAUCUUUUUUAUUUGCUGACUUUUCUAAGUAUAUUCUGAAGUUUUGAAAAGUCCGAGUUUAAUCAAAUUCUACAUUGUAGAAAAAAAUUCAAUCAAAAUGUGCAUAACUACCUUAAAUAAAAGCUGUUCACAAAAAUCUGUUUUAGCUCUGGUAGAGCCCUAAUGUAUGUUCGAAAAGAACCAUUUUGAAUAAACUUUGAAAAGGUUAGAGUCCACCAACUGUUCUCCCAUAGACUGACAUUGUAACAUUAUGGCUUGUACGGCCUUCCAUACAUCGAAACAUGUAUAUUUAAUUACAAGUUUUUCAAGAACUAUCUUAGUUCUACCAAAAUAUCGGACGAAAAACAUACGAAUUGUGAUACUUUAUUUAAGUAAUUUUUGUGUGAAUGAGAUGACCCCCUGUUUACAUCUUUGACAUGGCGGGAAAAAUUCGUUUGAUAAAACUUUUUUUUCAAUACACAUAAAAUGUAGCA